UUCCCAACAUAGUGGUAAAAAAUGGUUAAAAUGGUUUUACAGUUUUACUAGUAAAAGAGCCAUUUCUCAUUCAGCUGAUGGUUAUGGAUCAGUGAAGUGGUUUCUCAUUCAACUAAUGAAUUAAUUGCAUUAUCGAGGGAAAGGGCUCAGGUAUUUGUGUUUUUUAAAAGACAAAAAAGUAAGAGUGAUGCUCAAUUGCUCAUUGUUGACAGGGUAAUAGCACAUUUCUACUCCUAGUCAAUCUGAAAUGGAGCUUCUUUAUGGAUGCCAUAGCAGCUUCCCAAAACUGUGUUAAUCAUAACACCUAUGUAUGCUUUGUAUCGUCUUUAACAAAGCUAUUGACUCAUUGAGCGAUUACAGUUUUGUGGUUGGGGCUGGCUAGUAACAGCUGACAUGGGGUAAGUCAGUCCUUUAGUUGGGAUAUUUUCACAAGUAAUAAACAGACAUUGUGGAUAUUGUACUUCUAUCUCAAACAAAUUUUUUUCCUUAUGGUCUUCUGAACUUUACGAGCAGGGGGAAAAAAAGCAGCAUGUUGUUGGCUUAACUUGUCUUUGUCAGAUAUAUUUAAUGCUGUUGAUGUUGAGUGUUGCUUUUUUAUUUUUUAUUUUUUCAUUUUUGUUUAUCUUACUCUUUGAAUUAGGUGAGGGGAGGUCUACGUUCCCGACUGAUUGGAUGGUGGUAUUGAUCAACGUUCAUGCUCAAAUACAGAAGAUUUUUUUUAUGUUUAGAGAAACUAUGCUGUUAAUGGUUAUUUGGCAUAAGAAUUUUCAGUAAUGAUGAUGACCUUGGCAAGAAGCUCUAGCUGUCUUACAUAACAUUCAUUUGUGAUGACGCAUUAGAUCAGAUAUUUCAUGUGUUACAUGAAGUGAAGCUUUUACAAUGGGAGGAAAAUUUACAAUUUGCUGCAGGUUAUUAUUGUGACAAAAUUAUUCCAAAGAAAAUGAGUUGGAGAUGUGCAUGCAGGUAAAAUAGCGCAACGGACUAGCGUGUUUCACUCAAGAGAUAGAUAAAAUAGAUGGAAGGUUGUAGUUUGUAUUAGCUUAAAGCUUUCGAAAAUGCGUUAAUGGCUUUAGGCCAUUACUUUCAAAUGUCAAAAUACAAAUUAUUUCUGGACAAACUUCUCUACUCUAGACCACUUCUAUUUAUACUAAUACUACCUUACAAGGGUUGGCCAACACAGCCUUAAUUGCUACUAGUACUACUCUUGUCUUCUUCUAACUUUACCACAGUAACAAACAAUAGCCAAGGUUGCUUGUCUGUUGCACUUUAACGGUCCUCUGCCUGACCUUGUAGUGGGCACGGCUUGUUGUUGUUGUUGGUCGGCUGCUGCUGCUGCUGCUUCUUCUGUCGCCUGCUGUAGGUUAAGAUAGUGGGUGGUGGUGUUGGGUUCAUUUGCAAAUAGAUGUAAUUUUGUCAAGCUUGGCUGCAGCAACUGAAGAUCUUUGUACUAAAUAAAUUUCUGAUUUUAGCAGUGCCUCAAAGUCUCGAACUAUAGAUUCUCUUAUAAGCUCAAAUCCCUUGGGCUUAUGUAAGUCCAAUGAACAUGUACGUUUAAUUGAACUUGGUUUUCACUAGUACUUUAUGUUGAUUCUGGUUUUGUGGCUAGUGCUAUAACAUUCUAAUAUUCAUCUCUGCAUUGCAGGGUAUAAACCGUAUAUAUAUAACCCUUGAAAAUGGUGGUUCAUGGGUGUCCCUACUUAUAUUGGAAGCUCAUUGUUGACAGGGUAAUGCAUAUUUCUACUCUGAGUUUGAAAUAGAACUUCUGUACAGUAGUCAUAGCAUCUAGCCCUUAGGCUAUUAGCUUAACUUGUCUUUGCCGGAUAAGUUCUGUGUAGUUGAUGUUGAUUUUUUUUUUCUUUGCAUGAAUGAGUCACUUAGGUGAGGGGAGGUCUACAUACCGAGUACCUGACUGAUUAGAUGGUGAUAUUGGUCGCAAAUCACAAUUCAUACCUGACAAAUUGGAUGCAUGUCUAGAGGUAUUUAAAUACAUAGUUCAUCAUCAAUCAAAUUUGACUGAGUUUUAAGAUUAAACCUACCUUGGAAUUUAACCAAUAGAACUAAGAAUAUUACAUGGAUAAUGUUGGUCAAGCAUUUCAUUUACAUUUGCUCUCUGAUGUAUCUAUCAAUCUAGUUAUUUUAUGGUUCUGUAGAAACUCUGUUGGUAAUGGUUAUUUGACUUGAAUUUUGAGCAAUACCGUGAAGCGGUGGUGAUUGUGAGCUGCAAAUUGAUGAUAAAUUUUUGUGAUGACCUUAAUUGGCAAUAGGCUCUAGCUUUCUUACAUGUAAGCUGCUAUAUCAAAUAGUUUGGAUUAUUAGAUAAUAAACCUUAGUUGGGAUUAUUAAAAGUAAAUCGCAUAUAAUAAAUUUGUCAUUGCAACCAAAGAUUAUUAAAAAUAAAUGAGGGUGGAUAUUGACUUGAAAAUUAUCUGUAUUCUUGAUUUCUUGUUUUUCAGAGAAACUCCUAGCUAACUAGUGUUGAAUGUUGCUCAAUUUUUAUCAACAAUCCAUAGCUCUAAAAUUUAAGCCUGAAAGUAUUUCUAUUAUCUCAAACACAUAUAAAUGAAAGAUUUUAAAGAGUUUGCUUGAUCAAUUGAAUUUGACGUUAGAACCUUACAGAUUAUAUGCAUCACACUAAUCUAUUAUUAUCUGUUUUCUUUGUAAGAGACUAUUAGUAAUUUUAUUUUUAUUUUUGUGAGCCCUUGCAGAAACAUAUUUUUGCAAUGAUGCAGGAGAGAAUUUACAUGUUAUAUGAACUGAUAAAAUUAUUCCAAAGAAAAUGGGUUGGAGAUGUGCUCUGCAGGUAAAACAAUUGUGAUUGCUGCAGCAACUGAAUAUCUUUUUACUAGUAUAUUUCUGAUACUGCAGUGCCUCAGACCUGAGAUGCCUCUUAUAAGCUCAAAACCCUUGGCCUUAAGUCCAAUGAACAUGGUAUAACCAUUGAAAAUGCUGGUUUGUGGAUGUCUCUACAUAUAUUGCCAAUAUUGGACGCCGUGAAGCUUGAAUUUCCUUAUUGGUUUCUCUUACGCUCUUACCAUGCGUCCAUGUGAUGACUACUGCCGUACAAAAGAUAUAGAAAUACCAAGUUACAAGCAAAAUGCCGUCCAAUAAGGUUGGGAAUUGGGAUUGGUAGAUGCUGCACAAAAGAUAUUCCUAGAGUCCUAAAUAUACAAGCAGAAUACCUCCUAAUUAGGUUAUCAAAGGUAAAUGCACCACCAAAGCUAGUCAUAGCUAUAGAAAUACCAAAUUUACACACUGCAUAUCCGCUAUUAAACAUCAACAUGACCCCAAAACCUUUAUAAUACACAAAUCUAAGGUAAUAGACAUGAUUAAGUCCCUGACAAGGAAGCUCCAAGCUCUGCAUCAUAAGUUGUAUGCCUUGCAGCCUUGGCACGACACUGACAUUGUCGUUUAUGUGCAACAACAUUCAGGGGAUUGAGAAGACCAGUCUCUCUCAAAAAAGGUAACGAGGGAGCUCAAACUGAACAUGAUUGUAAAUACUUGACAAGCAUCAACACAAAACUAUUGAACCGAUUAUUUGCUGGUCUCCAAUAACUCAAAAUCAAUAGUAGUUAGAUGCAUAUUGACAAGCAUUUAUUACAGUUAUGUUGACCUUAAGUUUUGAUGAUGACUUAAGGAACCUAAGCAAACCCAUAUAAGUUUAACUUUCGUUUUUAGCUUUGAUUAGUAACAGGUUUAUGCUAUGAAAUUCUGAGUAAGAAUGGAGUAUGGAACAAGGUCUAAGUCAGCUAUGGAAGGAUAAAGAAGCCAAUCACAAGUCGUGUUCCUUUAAUGAGGAACAAGCUCCAGAGUUGAAUCUUCAAAGGCGAGUUCCUUGCAUGAGGAACUGAAGCUUCGAGCUCAGAGUUUCAAGGAGUCUAAUGUAUUUUUAUCUUUAUUUUAGGCUUCUUGUAUUUAUGCUAAGUACAAUGAUAAUUUAGGAUUUAAGUGGAUUUAAUUUUAUAUGAUAUAGAUUUAAUUUUCCAUA
Molecule: long non-coding RNA, 3985 nt
Organism: Chenopodium quinoa (quinoa)
Lineage: Eukaryota; Viridiplantae; Streptophyta; Magnoliopsida; Caryophyllales; Amaranthaceae
Exons: 4
Source: RefSeq, a predicted model, not a curated record